GGGGAAUUUUCCGCAAUGGGCGAAAGCCUGACGGAGCAAGACCGCGUGGGGGAAGAAGGCUCUUGGGUUGUAAACCCCUUUUCUCUGGGAAGAAAGUUGUGAAAGCAACCUGACGGUACCAGAGGAAUCAGCAUCGGCUAACUCCGUGCCAGCAGCCGCGGUAAGACGGAGGAUGCAAGCGUUAUCCGGAAUGAUUGGGCGUAAAGCGUCCGCAGGUGGCAGUUCAAGUCUGCUGUCAAAGACCGGGGCUUAACUUCGGAAAGGCAGUGGAAACUGAACAGCUAGAGUAUGGUAGGGGCAGAGGGAAUUCCUGGUGUAGCGGUGAAAUGCGUAGAGAUCAGGAAGAACAUCGGUGGCGAAGGCGCUCUGCUGGACCAUAACUGACACUCAGGGACGAAAGCUAGGGGAGCGAAUGGGAUU
This 420-nucleotide ribosomal RNA is filed under the name uncultured Microcoleus sp. RNAcentral describes it as "bacterial SSU rRNA". It matches the Rfam family "Bacterial small subunit ribosomal RNA", at positions 356 to 779 of the family's 1533-position model. Lineage: Bacteria; Bacillati; Cyanobacteriota; Cyanophyceae; Oscillatoriales; Microcoleaceae. The record is from RNAcentral.